AUACGUAGGGAGCGAGCGUUGUCCGGAAUUACUGGGCGUAAAGGGCGCGUAGGCGGCGCUUCAAGUCGUCUGUCAAAUGGGAGGGCUUAACCCUUUUUCGCAGACGAAACUGGAGAGCUUGAGAAACAGAGAGGCAAACAGAAUUCCUGGUGUAGCGGUGAAAUGCGUAGAUAUCAGGAAGAAUACCAGUGGCGAAGGCGGUUUGCUGGCUGCAUACUGACGCUGAAGCGCGAAAGCCAGGGGAGCAAACGGGAUUAGAUACCCCGGUAGUCCUGGCAGUAAACGAUGUAUGCUGGGUGUGAGACUAGCGAUAGUUUCGUGCCGAAGUUAACGCGAUAAGCAUACCGCCUGGGGAGUACGGUCGCAAGAUUGAAACUCAAAUGAAUUGACGGGG
Molecule: ribosomal RNA, 394 nt
Filed under: uncultured bacterium
Lineage: Bacteria
Description: partial 16S ribosomal RNA
Rfam family: Bacterial small subunit ribosomal RNA
Source: RNAcentral